GACGAACGCUGGCGGCGUGCUUAACACAUGCAAGUCGAACGGAAAGGCCCUGCUUUUGUGGGGUGCUCGAGUGGCGAACGGGUGAGUAACACGUGAGUAACCUGCCCUUGACUUUGGGAUAACUUCAGGAAACUGGGGCUAAUACCGGAUAGGAGCUCCUGCUGCAUGGUGGGGGUUGGAAAGUUUCGGCGGUUGGGGAUGGACUCGCGGCUUAUCAGCUUGUUGGUGGGGUAGUGGCUUACCAAGGCUUUGACGGGUAGCCGGCCUGAGAGGGUGACCAGCCACAUUGGGACUGAGGUACGGCCCAGACUCGUACGGGAGGCAGCAGUGGGGAGUAUUGCACAGUGGGCGGACGCCUGAUGCAGCAACGCCGCGUGCGGGAUGACGGCCUUCGGGUUGUAAACCGCUUUCGCCUGUGACGAAGCGUGAGUGACGGUAAUGGGUAAAGAAGCACCGGCUAACUACGUG
This 468-nucleotide ribosomal RNA is filed under the name uncultured bacterium. RNAcentral describes it as "partial 16S ribosomal RNA". It matches the Rfam family "Bacterial small subunit ribosomal RNA", at positions 28 to 507 of the family's 1533-position model. The record is from RNAcentral.